This is a long non-coding RNA of Chelonia mydas (Green sea turtle), 824 nucleotides long. RefSeq lists it as uncharacterized. The record is from RefSeq and is a predicted model, not a curated record. The transcript is spliced from 3 exons. NCBI's taxonomy places the organism in Eukaryota, Metazoa, Chordata, Testudines, Cheloniidae.
GACUAUGAUUUGUGUGAAAUUCUAAGUGGCCCCAAGAUGUUGUAGACAGUAUUUUUUCUAUAAAUGUAGUAGUACAUGAAAACCUUACUUUUACUUGACAUUUGAUUAUCUUCUUCCACUAGCUUUUGCAAUUCAUCAUACUUGAUGCAGUAACAGACAAGAAAGUCAUCUCUGCCCCAGAGACACUACAAUCUAGUCUAAGGAAAUGGUAGUUUGCAUUUUCCAUUCAAGAAAAUCAAAGUGGUUUACAAAUAUUAAUGAACAGGACGCAUCACAUCCUUGUCAGAAUCACCUCUGUUCCUGCACACGUGAGUUGGAGCUCCCUGGUGUUGAGUUCACAGAAACUCUACCAAAGCCACGUCCAUUUGGGCUGGACAAGUGCCCCUGGUGACAUCAACAUAUGACGCUUGAGUGCAACCCCUAACCACCUCAGCUUCUUUUCCUGAACUACUGAGAAGACUCUUGAAGAAAGUUAUCAGUAAAAUAUCUCUUCACUGGCGCACAGUCCUUCAAAGUCCUCUGUGCAUGCACACUUGUGGGACAGUAAAGAGCAACACCUCUUGGAAUGGAUGGAAGGCCAAGGAACUCUCAAGUCUCGCAUCUAACUCUGAGAAUAAGACUAAUGCACAGUGCUUAGUAAAAGCAUGAACUGAACUCCAUGUGGCUGUGCUAUACAUUUCUCCUACGGGAAUCUGUCCUUAAAUGUGUCACAAACAGCAGUAGCAGGGUGAAUAAAAAUCAAUGAUUUUAAAAAAUAAAAAUAAUUAGAUUUUUUAUUCAAAUUGGAUUUUUUUUUAUUUAAAUCAGAUUUUUUUGAUAAAAUG